UACAGAGACUGCAAGCGUUAUUCGGAUUCAUUGGGCGUAAAGGGUGCGUAGGUGGCGAGGUUAGUCAGGUGUGAAAUCUCGGGGCUCAACCCCGAAACUGCACUUGAUACUGCCUUGCUAGAGUACUGGAGAGGAGAUUGGAAUUUACGGUGUAGCAGUGAAAUGCGUAGAUAUCGUAAGGAAGACCAGUGGCGAAGGCGAAUCUCUGGACAGUUACUGACACUGAGGCACGAAGGCCAGGGGAGCAAACGGG
This 253-nucleotide ribosomal RNA is filed under the name uncultured bacterium. RNAcentral's name for it is "partial 16S ribosomal RNA". It matches the Rfam family "Bacterial small subunit ribosomal RNA", at positions 524 to 776 of the family's 1533-position model. The record is from RNAcentral.